GCGGUGUCGGGGGAUCCGGACGCGCCGCCGACGAUCCUGGCGUCGACCCCGGUGGAGAACGAUCCGGGGGCAACGUUCGACACCUUGAUGUCCCA
This 95-nucleotide transfer RNA is filed under the name Mycobacterium paragordonae. RNAcentral describes it as "tRNA-Arg". Lineage: Bacteria; Bacillati; Actinomycetota; Actinomycetes; Mycobacteriales; Mycobacteriaceae. The record is from RNAcentral.